GCUGACGAGUGGCGGACGGGUGAGUAAUGUCUGGGAAACUGCCUGAUGGAGGGGGAUAACUACUGGAAACGGUAGCUAAUACCGCAUAAUGUCGCAAGACCAAAGAGGGGGACCUUCGGGCCUCUUGCCAUCGGAUGUGCCCAGAUGGGAUUAGCUAGUAGGUGGGGUAACGGCUCACCUAGGCGACGAUCCCUAGCUGGUCU
This 203-nucleotide ribosomal RNA is filed under the name Escherichia coli. Its description in RNAcentral is "partial 16S ribosomal RNA". It matches the Rfam family "Bacterial small subunit ribosomal RNA", at positions 87 to 293 of the family's 1533-position model. Lineage: Bacteria; Pseudomonadati; Pseudomonadota; Gammaproteobacteria; Enterobacterales; Enterobacteriaceae. The record is from RNAcentral.